This 303-nucleotide ribosomal RNA is filed under the name uncultured bacterium. RNAcentral's name for it is "partial 16S ribosomal RNA". It matches the Rfam family "Bacterial small subunit ribosomal RNA", at positions 507 to 807 of the family's 1533-position model. The record is from RNAcentral.
AGCAGUAGCCACGGUAAUACGAAGGGGGCUAGCGUUGUUCGGAUUUACUGGGCGUAAAGCGCACGUAGGCGGAUCCUUAAGUCAGAGGUGAAAUCCCAAGGCUCAACCUUGGAACUGCCUUUGAUACUGGGGAUCUCGAGUUCGGGAGAGGUGAGUGGAACUGCGAGUGUAGAGGUGAAAUUCGUAGAUAUUCGCAAGAACACCAGUGGCGAAGGCGGCUCACUGGCCCGAUACUGACGCUGAGGUGCGAAAGCGUGGGGAGCAAACAGGAUUAGAUACCCCCGUAGUCCCUGUCUCUUAUAC